UGGGAAAAAAGGAAAAGCUAAGAUGGCGUCGCACUUGCAGCAAACUUUUACUGACUGACAACAAACUGAUCAUCAUAUGCACCGUAAACCCAUGGGGAGCAGUGUUCGUAUUUGGAUUCAAGUUGUCUCACACACACUGAAUUCCUCCGAUGUGGUGCUUUUGCGGAACCUCGGAAAUCUAGAGCCCGGAACUCGAGCCCGCGCUAACCAUUUUCCCAGUUCCGGUUUCGAGUGGAAUGUUCCAUAGACAGCACUAGUAAACAGACACUGUCAGCUUUUCCGGGCCGGGGUAGUACGCUGAGUGGUCAAAUAUUUAGUGUAUGUUGUCUUA
Culex quinquefasciatus (southern house mosquito) is the source of this 331-nucleotide long non-coding RNA. RefSeq lists it as uncharacterized. The transcript is spliced from 3 exons. Lineage: Eukaryota; Metazoa; Arthropoda; Insecta; Diptera; Culicidae. The record is from RefSeq and is a predicted model, not a curated record.